Molecule: long non-coding RNA, 874 nt
Filed under: Parus major (Great Tit)
Lineage: Eukaryota; Metazoa; Chordata; Aves; Passeriformes; Paridae
Description: lncRNA (ENSPMJG00000010405.1)
Source: RNAcentral
GGAAAAAUACCUGUCUGCUGGUCUCUGCCAUGUCUCAGUGCCAGCCUGGACAUCUGUGCCAGGGAAAGCGGGGCAUGGUGCUGCUGGAAGGGGUAGGUGGAAGGUGCUGCAUGGUCAGUUGUGUUACCAGGACAAGAGCUGCAUUUAGCUCAAAGCCAGACUUUUCAGCUGGGACCCAGUGACCCCAUUGACAGGGUCUGGAGUCACCAAGCUGCAGCCACAUUCAAGUCCUAUUUUUGUCAAGAGUUUUGCAGUGAGCUUCAGAUACUGCCCACGUGGAAGGUGGGAGAGAUGAAUCCCAGCCAUGGCAAAGUCCUGCCUGGUGAAUUUGCAGGUGCCUCCCCAGGCUGCAGCUCGAGCUGCUGACAGGAGAUGCUGGCAGUGAUUUGUGGGGCAGGGAGUUUUCCUCCUUCCCCCUGCACAGUCUGUAAUUCCCUGGUAUUAUAACAUGUCAUUUUUCUAGCAUACCUGAGGAGCCAGGAAAUAAUGUCUGAGCCUAGAGGGACAGCAACGAUGGAACCUCCAAAGAGGCGAGAGAUGGAGAGAUUAGAGCAAGAAACGAAGCCAGCGGAUGCUGCCAGUUCCCAUCACCUAAUCAAAGCUGCUCCGUGGAAGGGCCGCCUCGUUAUUACAUCCCAUUAUAGCCUCCGGCAGCGGCUGUACUUCAUAACCGCCCAGGAAAGCUGACAGAGAACAAAGCUGUCCUCCAGGAACAAAGAAAGGAGAAUGGUCUGUGACUGGGGGGAAGGCAGAGCACGGCUGUGGGGAGGAGAUGAAGCCAAGAGACACCAGCAAAGCUGCCAGGACUCAGUGGAUAGACAAACCUCCCAGUGUGGUAAAUAAAACCCCAGUUGAUGGUUGAAAUAAUGGCUGG